This 301-nucleotide ribosomal RNA is filed under the name uncultured bacterium. RNAcentral's name for it is "bacterial SSU rRNA". It matches the Rfam family "Bacterial small subunit ribosomal RNA", at positions 354 to 707 of the family's 1533-position model. The record is from RNAcentral.
GUGGGGAAUAUUGCACAAUGGGCGCAAGCCUGAUGCAGCGACGCCGCGUGGGGGAUGACGGCCUUCGGGUUGUAAACCUCUUUCAGUAGGGACGAAGCGCAAGUGACGGUACCUACAGAAGAAGGACCGGCCAAUUACGUGCCAGCAGCCGCGGUAAUACGUAGGGUCCGAGCGUUGUCCGGAAUUACUGGGCGUAAAGAGCUCGUAGGUGGUUUGUCGGGUUGUUCGGGAAAACCGGGGGAUUUGCCGGAAGCUUAAAGGAAUUGAGGGAAAAUCAAAGGAAUUGACGGAAACUCAAAGG